Molecule: long non-coding RNA, 2854 nt
Organism: Anser brachyrhynchus (Pink-footed goose)
Lineage: Eukaryota; Metazoa; Chordata; Aves; Anseriformes; Anatidae
Source: Ensembl
AUGGCGACACGGUGAGGAAGAGGAAAGGCAGAAAAUCGCCCGGCGUGGGGUGAGGCCUGCAGGGCCUGCAGCCAGGCCCCAGCUCCCCUGCCCCACUUCUGGCCUCCUUCCUCUCUCCCUGCUUUCCUUCCCUCCUGUUCGGUUUUCCUCCCCGAGGAGCUGGAAACAUCAAGAAGCCCCACAAGAGCCCUCUGUCUCCAUCGCUGGACUGGGGAUUCGCCAAGAGAGGUUUUGGUGACUGAGCAGAGAAACUCGUGGUGUGGAGGAUCCAAGGCUCGUUAUCCAGAUGGCAUGCGGGCUGGGCUGCCUCGUCUGUCGUCUCCUGAAAGACGGACAGAUGAAAGACGACUUGAAAGGACACGGGGAGAUCAAGGGUUGUGAGUGCGAGGAGCAAGGCCAGGGGCUGACACGGUCCUUCUUGGUGUCAUGUUCAGCUUAUCUAACCUCAAGGACGUGUGAGCGAUGGCAGGAUGGAGCUGCUCACCGCCCUGCUGCCCCGGCUCAUACAGAAGGACGGGCAGCAGGGACAGACAGACCAUUUCUGGCAGACAGACCCUCUCAGGGAGUGGGGAGCUGGGCGAGGAGCAAGGCUUUCCUGACUUCCCUCCAGACAGGGGCCUUGCCUGCCCGACCUGUGGCACUUCACUCCGUCCUGCUCCUCGGCAGCAUUUUGCAUCUCGCCCAGUAAUGCCCGGGUUCCUUAAUAGCGUCUCAUGUGGGAUUUUAUCAAAGGCUUUAGGACAAUCCCCGUAAAUUAUAUCUACUGCGUUCCCUUUAUCCAUUGUUUUGUUGAUUCCAUCAGAAAUCAUCUCCCAGAGCAGACACGCACGCCUUGCCUUUCCGAAGCCCCCAGUUUGUUCCGUUUCUCUCUUAGCCAUGUAAUGUUUCAAUUAAUUUGUCUGGUACCGAGUUAUUGUUCUGAAUAGCCCUCAGAAGGGAUGAUCUGAGGAGCACCACCGACUUUCAUUGUGCCUAGGAUCUGGAUGUAGCAAUCGAAGCUUCUGCUCUCGGGUGCCAGGAGGGAUGGUUCUGGUGGGAUGUUUGCAGAAGUGCUGCAUGUGUUGAGCCAGUCCCUGCUUAGAGGAGCUGGGGAUCUCCUGGUGAUGAGAUGUGCCUAAAAUGAUCCCCAAAAGCCCAGGUUGAGGCUGUGAAACGUGAACACAGGAGGACGCUUGGUCUCUGUAACGGUUGAGCUGCCUGAGCACUAAGUUGCUCCAGCUUCGUCCUCGGAAACCCAACGAGCGAGAGUUUGCGGCUGGGCUGGAGCGGGGAGGAGGCGGUGAGACCAGCCUGGGAAGGGUUAAUCAUUUCCAUUGCAAUUGUGUCAUCUCUUUGGGGACCUCUCGCUCAUUUUGCGAGCGGCCGCUGAAAGCCGAGGCGCGGGGGCUCUUUCUUAUUCAGCUGCACGCAGCGUCAGAAGCACCGGACAGCCGCACAGCUGUGCUCAGCCGCCUCGGCCGUGCAGAUGGAUGGAGAAAAGGAUUUGUGUGCGUGCGUGUGCUUGCGUGUGUGUGUGUGUGCGCCUGAAACCUAAUUGUCUGCUGUCUAAUCCGUCAGCCAGGGGGACAGCUUGCACAAGCCCCUUCCAGGCAGGCUGAUAAAUGCAGCGCUGCCAGGCCCCGUUGCGAUGCGCUUGGCUUUAAUUGGGGUGGCUACGUGCGCGGGCUCUGCGCGCCCGCCUCCGUGGGUGCAGGGGAUGCUGCUCAUGGGGAAGUGUGAGUCCGGCGUCCCAGGGGAUGGAGCGGGGCUGGAGGCCCUGGGAGCAGCAUUCGGCACCGUGACAGCACGGCGACCCGGUGCUGGGCUGGGUGGUUUUCUUACUGCCUUGCAUAAAACCAGGAUUGUUCUGUAAGAGCAGUGACAACGACAGCAGCACUGGUUUUGCAGCUUGCGGGGGGCUCAGUGCCUCCUGAGAUGGGGCUGGAAACGAAAUAGAGGGCUGUUGGGGUUUUGGGAUCGCCCAGGGCGCGAUCACAUCAGUGAUCGGUCUUGGAGAUGUCACCUGUGAUCUUCAGCGUGGUGCAAGGAGCAGAGCCAGGCUCAGCAACGUGCCUCCUGAGCACCCUCCCAGCCCCAAGCACGUGGCAGCUCGGGGACUUUCCCAGCCGGAGUGGCGUUUUGUCUUUAAUACUCCUCAAUGGAUUUCCCAUGAAUUUGUCUAGUUGAUUUUUGUAAACACACAAGCUUUAAUCAUCCCCAGAGAGCUGUGGCAAGGACUUCCACUGCUUAACCACAUAUCACGUGAAGAACCAUCUCCUCUUGUGUCUUUUGAACCUGCUGCCUCUUAAUGUUAUUGGAUAUCUCCUAAUUCUUUUAUUGGGAGAUGCAGCGAGCCAUCAAUCUUGGUUCACCUUCUUGAGGCCGCAAACAUGCCUCUCUGGCUGCUUGUUUUCCAGGCUGAGGUCUUCCUCCCGUGGUCUCAUGUUUUUGAUCAUCCUCUUCUGGACCUUUUUCCAGCUCUGCUAGUGAUGUCAGGACUCUAGGCCUGGUGUCAUCUCCUUGUUUGUUAUACAAUUAGAGGUGAUGUCACGAUUACAGCAGGUGGUAUUUGCAUCAGCGUUGGUUGCUUGGUGUGUGGUGAUGUCAGGAGAGCGUUGUGUCCUGCCUUUGUUAUGAGAACUUCUCAUGAAGCUGCUGAUCCUCAACGCAGGGGUUUAAAAUAAUAAUAUUUUGCCUUUGGGUUCCCUGCCUGAAAGGGAUGGUGCCAGGCUGUUGUUUUUCAGAAGUCCAUGUGCUUUGCAAGAUAUUGCUGACUUAAAGGAGCGAUGCGUCUCAGCCACUUCAUCCCCCAGGUGCAGUCACCUCCAGGCUGGUGCCCACCAACUCGUCCAUAAUAAAUGCACAUCAGGUUUCA